UCCCUGGUGGCUUAGACAGUAAAGCGUCUGCCUGCAAUGCAGGAGACCUCAGUUCGAUCCCUGGGUUGGGAA
This 72-nucleotide transfer RNA is filed under the name Bos taurus (domestic cattle). It matches the Rfam family "tRNA". Rfam says of the family: Transfer RNA (tRNA) molecules are approximately 80 nucleotides in length. The record is from Rfam by way of RNAcentral. Lineage: Eukaryota; Metazoa; Chordata; Mammalia; Artiodactyla; Bovidae. RNAcentral also lists the same sequence under 3 other names.